Daktulosphaira vitifoliae (grape phylloxera) is the source of this 765-nucleotide long non-coding RNA. RefSeq lists it as uncharacterized. Lineage: Eukaryota; Metazoa; Arthropoda; Insecta; Hemiptera; Phylloxeridae. The transcript has 2 exons. The record is from RefSeq and is a predicted model, not a curated record.
AUUUGCUCCAACUCUGUCGCGUCGUCAUAUAUACUAUUAAAUUUAAUUUGUAUAGAUAUAUUAUAAUACUUGAGCGACAUCGUGUUUGUUUCUAUACAUAGUUGUGUUCAUUCAGUUUGUAUACCCUUAUUUUAAAUCAUUUUAUAGUAUAUAACAUGUGUAUUAAAUAAAAAAUUAUAUAUUAAGGUUACUACAAUAUAUACGUACGUGUCGCUUUGUAUUUUCAAUUAAUUACGUUGUAAAUAAUAUUGUAUUGUAUUUAUAUUUAAAAAGAAUCUAUUUGUACGUGAGUGUAUGUGAAGUUCACCGAACGCCGCUUAUACCCCUUCCCACCCCGUCCUGCCACUAUCCCCAAAGAAAAAAUACUAUGCGGCCGAGCUUUGCGUGUGUUCACGACUAGCAUGUGUACUAGCCGAAGUACCAGAGGUAACGAGUCAGGGCAGAGGAGCCAGAAGAAGACGUCAUCGUGGCUUGUCUGAGAAGUGGUGACCGCCGCAGCCGCCUUAGAUUCUCGGAAUGCCUGCUUACAUACACACACAAUUCCUGUGAACGGAUAAACGACGACGACGACGACCUAAGGUCAAACUAAUAACCAUAUACCUACGGUCGAAGUGAACGUCGAAACUCAGAAAAAAAGUUCCCUGUAGAUCAAAGAGUUAAUUAUUAUUUAUUUGUUUUUUUUUUUAUGUAUAAUUUUUUAUAUGAUUUUGUUAUAAGUUUCUUUUUUGUUCAGGAAAAAAAUAGUAUAUUUUGUUUUAUUUUUAA